GGGUCAGUUUGGGAAGAGCUGCUGCCCAUGGGAAGGACACUCACUGGUGAAGUAUGGAGAACUGCCUUCACAGGUGGCACUCCGUACUGGAGCUGGAGAAGAGCAUGAGGGGGAAGGAACAUCUGAGACAACUGGCUGUUAGCUGACCACAGCCCCCACUGCCCACCCCUGUGUGCUGCUCAGGAAGAGGAGGCAGAGAAAUCCAGGGUGCCAUCAUUGCUGACUCCACACUUUCUUCAGGUAAGCUGAGCCUCUGGUGGACAGAUAGAGACAACACUCCUGUGUGGCAAGACAAGAAGUUGGGUUUUAUUUGUUACACUAAAUAAAGAGACACCACCAUUUGAAAAGGAGUCUGAACCACUCCAUGGAUGACAAUUCUGUGUAGUGUGCUUUGUCUGUCCACCAUCUCCUGAAAGCUGCAUGAAAUUGAGGUUCCCAACAACUGAAGAAAGAGAACUCUACAGAAGUUAUAAAUGUAGAUGACACACUAUUCUUGAUCUGGGUUUUUGGUUUUGUAUUGCAUUGCACUACAAUGGCUUUUUCUGCAACAUUUACAAAACUUCAAGUAUCCUGGUGAAGGAGCUGGGCCUGUUUAGCCUGGAGAAAAGGAGACUCAGGGGAGUCCUUAUCAUUCUCUACAGCUACCCGGAAGAAGGUUGUAGCCAGGUGGAAGUCAGUCUUUUC
Molecule: long non-coding RNA, 684 nt
Organism: Haemorhous mexicanus (house finch)
Lineage: Eukaryota; Metazoa; Chordata; Aves; Passeriformes; Fringillidae
Exons: 4
Source: RefSeq, a predicted model, not a curated record